RNAcentral lists this ribosomal RNA (498 nucleotides) under uncultured bacterium. RNAcentral's name for it is "partial 16S ribosomal RNA". It matches the Rfam family "Bacterial small subunit ribosomal RNA", at positions 29 to 523 of the family's 1533-position model. The record is from RNAcentral.
AUUGAACGCUGGCGGCAUGCUUUACACAUGCAAGUCGAACGGUAACAGGCCGCAAGGUGCUGACGAGUGGCGAACGGGUGAGUAAUGUAUCGGAACGUGCCCAGUCGUGGGGGAUAACGCAGCGAAAGCUGCGCUAAUACCGCAUACGAUCUAUGGAUGAAAGCGGGGGACCGUAAGGCCUCGCGCGAUUGGAGCGGCCGAUAUCAGAUUAGGUAGUUGGGGGGGUAAAGGCUCACCAAGCCAACGAUCUGUAGCUGGUCUGAGAGGACGACCGGCCACACUGGGACUGAGGCACGGCCCAGGCUCCUACGGGAGGCAGCAGUGGGGAAUUUUGGACAAUGGGCGCAAGCCUGAUCCAGCAAUGCCGCGUGCAGGAAGAAGGCCUUCGGGUUGUAAACUGCUUUUGUACGGAACGAAACGGUCUGGGUUAAUACCUCGGGCUAAUGACGGUACCGUAAGAAUAAGCACCGGCUAACUACGUGCCAGCCGCCGCAGUAA